AUAUUUCAUUAUCCUUUUAUAUUACGUUCCUUAGUGAUUCUUGCAUGUUCUCCGUUGCUUUUUAUUGCGUUGGCCAAGUAGUAGAUCGUAACUCCAAGAGGGAGCAUUAUGCAUGAUUGUGGGUUCGGGCCCCUCGAUGUCUAGCUUGAGUGACAGAAACAUGAGACUAGGGGAUAUGCUUGUUGCCGCCAGGGAGAAAAAAUGGUGCUUGUGACCACGGUUCCAAAGAUUGUUUACCUUACAGAUAGUUCGUUAAUGCAGUUGUCCGUUGCUUUGAGUUUACACUUUGGGUGGGGCUCGCAACUUAAUACUGGAGAGAUGUUCUAGAUAGAUAUCUCAAGGUGGAUGAUUAGUAAGUAGAUGUUGAUGAAUAAAUGGUCUACUUUUCUUGGCGUACUGCCCAUUACUAUUGAACCUCUAACUAUCAAGGAGCAUAAUUAGCAUUGCGGUGUGAUCAUAAUUCUUUCAAUUGCUCAACUAUGAUUUGUUUACCCUAGCAUAAUUGUUUAUCGUAUUUUGGGAGAGAGACAUCACUAGUGAACAUCAUGUGACUCUGGUCCAUAUCACCAUCAUUGUUUACACCUCCAUCAUUUGCCACUUUCCUUUACUUUUCCGUUGCAAUCACUAUUACCUUCCCUCUUGUGUUUUGAUCCUUUGCAAACUACAAGGCCGGAGAGAUUGACAACCUAUGUGUACUCGUUGGGAGAAAAGUUAGUUGUUGUGUGUGCAGGUCCACGUCUUCUGU
RNAcentral lists this long non-coding RNA (745 nucleotides) under Hordeum vulgare. RNAcentral's name for it is "long non-coding RNA (HVUL_LNC018000)". The record is from RNAcentral. Lineage: Eukaryota; Viridiplantae; Streptophyta; Magnoliopsida; Poales; Poaceae.